RNAcentral lists this ribosomal RNA (820 nucleotides) under Neocallimastix sp. NYF3. Its description in RNAcentral is "eukaryotic LSU rRNA". It matches the Rfam family "Eukaryotic large subunit ribosomal RNA", at positions 1 to 667 of the family's 3401-position model. Lineage: Eukaryota; Fungi; Neocallimastigomycota; Neocallimastigomycetes; Neocallimastigales; Neocallimastigaceae. The record is from RNAcentral.
ACUUGAUCUCAAAUCAGAUAAGGGUACCCGCUGAACUUAAGCAUAUCAAUAAGCGGAGGAAAAGAAACUAACAAGGAUUCCCUUAGUAACGGCGAGUGAAGCGGGAAGAGCUCAAAUUUGAAAUCUUCAAGGUUCUACCUUGACGAAUUGUAGUUUAAAGAAGUGUUUUCUGUUAGAUGAGUAGCAAAAGUUCCUUGGAAUGGGACAUCAUAGAGGGUGAGAAUCCCGUAUUUGGUUAUUCAUUCUAGCUUUGUGAUACACUUUCAAAGAGUCGGAUUGUUUGGGAAUGCAGUCCAAAAUGGGUGGUAAAUUUCAUCUAAAGCUAAAUAUUGGCGAGAGACCGAUAGCGAACAAGUACCGUGAGGGAAAGAUGAAAAGAACUUUGAAAAGAGAGUUAAACAGUACGUGAAAUUGUCAAAAGGGAAGCGUUUGACACCAGUGUUGUUUUUCCGAAAAUCAAUUACGAAUGGCUUGAUUUUGUGUUGUAUUGACCUUAUCAGCUUUCUGCACUUUUUUCGAGUCUUUCUUAAUGCACUUUUCGGUUAACAAGUCAACAUCAAUUUCUUUUGUUGUAAAAGAGUAUUCGGAAGGUGGCUUUCUUUUCGGAGAAAGUGUUUAUAGCCCUAUACUUCUACAAUCGGAGAGAUUGAGGUCUGCAGCGUAGAUCCUUCGGGGUUAGAUACACUUGUGCUAAGUUGUAGCUUUUCAUAGACAACUUGUUGACUAUGUUUAGUCAUGCGGCUUACUCGCUUGUGCUAUUUUACCUACGCUUAGGAUGUUGACAAAAUGGUUUUAAACGACCCGUCUUGAAACACGGACC